GCCAGAGACAGUAGAAUCAGGACACAAAUUUUGGGUCAGCAUAAAAGUAGGAAUACACGUUUUUCAUUUAACCUCCAAGAAGGAAUAGAUACUUCCCCGUAAGGUCAGAUAAAUAUAAUCAUUCUCUUUUGACUGCAGGGAAGGCAAAGGAGAAGCAUGUAUUGAUCAACCCUGUUCCAUCCUGUCUCCUUCUGUGGCUCCAUUUACUCAUCAUGAUUGGACUGGGAAUUCUGCCAUACCUGCUGAGGGGAACCAAUAAAUCCAGAGGUGCAGCAUAGUCAGCCUCUCCAUCUCAUCUCUUUGGAGGAUGUUGAAAGAAAGUAUUAGAUGGAUUCUAAUGCUUUGGGAUAUAUCAUAAGUGCUUUGGGAUAUAACAUAAAUGAAUCUCAUAAAUAAUCAACUGAUGAAGUAAGUUGUGUUGAAAUCUUGAGGAUUAGGUGUAAAAAGAUGGAUGUCUAAAUACAUACCGUGCUUAUCUUUGGACACUGAGCAGCCAUAGCUUUCGUGGAUGUGU
Molecule: long non-coding RNA, 514 nt
Filed under: Phasianus colchicus (ring-necked pheasant)
Lineage: Eukaryota; Metazoa; Chordata; Aves; Galliformes; Phasianidae
Description: lncRNA (ENSPCLG00000004127.1)
Source: RNAcentral